GUGUUUGCUUCAGCAGCACAUAUACUAAAAUUGGAAUGAUACAAAGAUUAGCAUGGCUCUGCACAAGCAUGACAUGCAAAUUCAUGAAGUGUUCCAUAUUAAA
Nannospalax galili (Upper Galilee mountains blind mole rat) is the source of this 103-nucleotide small nuclear RNA. NCBI's taxonomy places the organism in Eukaryota, Metazoa, Chordata, Mammalia, Rodentia, Spalacidae. The record is from Ensembl.